GACGAACGCUGGCGGCGUGCUUAACACAUGCAAGUCGAACGGAAAGGCCUUUUCGGAGGUACUCGAGUGGCGAACGGGUGAGUAACACGUGGGUGAUCUGCCCUGCACUCUGGGAUAAGCCUGGGAAACUGGGUCUAAUACCGGAUAGGACCGCACUUUAGUGUGUGUGGUGGAAAGUUUUUUCGGUGUAGGAUGAGCCCGCGGCCUAUCAGCUUGUUGGUGGGGUAAUGGCCUACCAAGGCGGCGACGGGUAGCCGGACUGAGAGGUUGGUCGGCCACAUUGGGACUGAGAUACGGCCCAGACUCCUACGGGAGGCAGCAGUGGGGAAUAUUGCACAAUGGGCGCAAGCCUGAUGCAGCGACGCCGCGUGGGGGAUGACGGCCUUCGGGUUGUAAACUCCUUUCGCCAGGGACGAAGCGUUUUGUAACGGUACCUGGAGAAGAAGCACCGGCUAACUACGUG
RNAcentral lists this ribosomal RNA (463 nucleotides) under uncultured bacterium. RNAcentral's name for it is "partial 16S ribosomal RNA". It matches the Rfam family "Bacterial small subunit ribosomal RNA", at positions 28 to 507 of the family's 1533-position model. The record is from RNAcentral.